UACGAAGGGGGCUAGCGUUGUUCGGAAUCACUGGGCGUAAAGCGCACGCAGGCGGAUCGAUAAGUCGGGGGUGAAAGCCCGGGGCUCAACCUCGGAAUUGCCUUCGAUACUGUCGGUCUUGAGUCCGGGAGAGGUGAGUGGAAGUCCUAGUGUGGAGGUGAAAUUCGUAGAUAUUAGGAAGAACACCAGUGGCGAAGGCGGCUCACUGGCCCGGUGCUGACGCUCAGGUGCGAAAGCGUGGGGCGCAUACAGG
RNAcentral lists this ribosomal RNA (253 nucleotides) under uncultured bacterium. Its description in RNAcentral is "partial 16S ribosomal RNA". It matches the Rfam family "Bacterial small subunit ribosomal RNA", at positions 524 to 776 of the family's 1533-position model. The record is from RNAcentral.